GGUGAGAGUAAUUGUUGAGACGACUGCUGCUGUUGCUGCAAUUUCUGUAAUAAUUGGAAUUGUUGCUCUGAGAGGCCCUGCUGUGCCAGUUGUUGAAUUUGUGGCUGCUGUUGUGACCUCUGGGACAGAUUUUGCUGCAACUGUGUCUGUUGCUGUUGGCUCUGUACGAGGUUAGGUUGCUGUUCCACCUGUUGCUGAAUCUGUGUAUCUUGAGCUAACGAUGUCAAAGGAUAUGAAGCCUUAUUAGCAGGAAGGGUGGUUUGAGUUGACUGGCCAUUGCUUGUCAAUAUUUGUUGUUGUUGCUGCUGUUGCUGAAUCUGAGAAUAAACACCUGGCUGAUGCAAAUUUUGAUUUGGCAUCUGGUUUGAGGCAAUGAUGCCAUUAUUUACUUGAGCUGGUAGAAAUUGUUGUUGCAGCAGCUGCGGUUGUGCCUGUUGUCUUUGUUGUUGUUGCAGUUGCUGUAGAGGUGGCUGCUGCUGCUGUGGUUGUGGUUGUGGCUGUGCCUGUUGUCUUUGUUGUUGCUGCUGCUGCUGCUGUAGAGGUGGCUGAGGCUGAGGCUGCUGUUGAAGAUGUGACUGUGGCUGCAGCUGUGACUGUCGUUGCUGUAACUGCUGUUGUGGAUUUUGAUUCAGAGGAGUCUGCAAUAACUGCUGGAGUUGCUGUUGCUGGGGCCAGGUCAUAGGUGCCUGAG
This 691-nucleotide long non-coding RNA is filed under the name Gossypium barbadense (sea-island cotton). Its description in RNAcentral is "long non-coding RNA (GBAR_LNC005857)". The record is from RNAcentral. Lineage: Eukaryota; Viridiplantae; Streptophyta; Magnoliopsida; Malvales; Malvaceae.